AGGAGUCAUCCAUCAGUCCAGUUGUCCACAGACCCCAUUCCCGAAUGAUACUGUAAAGAAGAUUCCCUGGAGAGCGAGAAGGUCUGAGAGUAAAGAAACUCAUUGGCUGUGCCUAAGUGGGGAGAGGGGGGCUUCCUCUCACACACGGAGGGAUGCACCCUUUCCCUUGGGAAGGACGACGCGGGAACUCUCUCCCUGACCUGAGACGGUGACAGCUGAUUGUAGACCGUGAAGGGGCUGUUGCCUGGUGGCUGGGAACUCUGAGUCGUGAUGGUGGGGAGGCGCGGCAUCAUGGUGGUAGCAGUGAAGUGAGCAGGGAAAGGCUGAUAGGGGACAGUUUCCAUUGUCUGAACGCUGUAGCUGGUGUAAGGUGCAACCGAAGUCCACAUAUUGCAGCUCAAAGGCGGCGGCGGAGGAGGAGGAGGAGGCAAAUCUUCUACUGAUGAGACGCCUGCCAUUUCGGCACUGGAGCUAGAGUACAUGCAGGCAUCCCGCGACGUCACGUCACUGCAGUAAGACGGGCUCAAUAUUUGCUGCUCGUACGGAGGUGGUGAUCGGAAAUAGUGCUCUUCCCCGACAGAAGAGGAGGCUUCCAGAUAAGAGCGUUUGCAGGGUAGAUCCAAAUGCCGGGCACCCUCUGCAUACAUCAGAAGAAAGAAAGAAGCAAAACAAACCAAGAAAUACUUAGCCUGCCAAGUGCACAUGGGCUUCUGCCAAAGCAGCAAAUUGUACAUGGCAAAGCAUUUGCCAUCUGUGGAGAUCAAGGUCUGCUGCUGCUUGCCCAGAACCCUGAGGAGACACAAUCUAACAAAAGUAAGAGCUAAAGCAGGCAAGAAGAAACCCUGUAUGAUGCAUCUGUUGCUGGGCUGUACCAUUUCAGACUGAAAAAGGGUAACAGCGGGACUUGGGACUGAAAAGGGCCAUGGAAAAACACAGCCAGAAGCCCUGAUUAUUGCUAGGAGCCCCCCAGAGUAUUUUGACAAGGAAUAAAUCCAUUAUGCACCAUG
Long non-coding RNA from Rhineura floridana, 1007 nucleotides. RefSeq lists it as uncharacterized. The transcript is spliced from 2 exons. NCBI's taxonomy places the organism in Eukaryota, Metazoa, Chordata, Lepidosauria, Squamata, Rhineuridae. The record is from RefSeq and is a predicted model, not a curated record.